Molecule: unclassified non-coding RNA, 384 nt
Filed under: Hevea brasiliensis (rubber tree)
Lineage: Eukaryota; Viridiplantae; Streptophyta; Magnoliopsida; Malpighiales; Euphorbiaceae
Source: RNAcentral
UCAAACUUCCCAGCACGGUGAUCAGUUGUGGUGACAGCUGAAGCAUCCUGACCACCUCCAAGCACAACAUGAUCAAGAAGAGGAGACAUUGUAACAGCAUUGACUGGACGUUCUGUCACAUAGGUCUUGAUAAGAGUCAACGUUCUGAUGUCCCAUAGCUUAGCAGACCUAUCUAGAGAACCAGUAAGGAAGUGUGAACCAUCAGAAGACUUUGUAAGAGAUGUUAUUGUCUUCUUAUGCCCAAUUUCCCGAUCUGACUCUUUCAGAAGCUUUCCAGUCUCAGAAUCCCAUAUGCGAAUUACAGCAUCCUCUCCAGCACUUAUGAUAGUCUCGUUCAGGGGUCCCCAAACAGCCCUGUUAAUUCUUCCCUGAGGGCCCUUGAGA